This 422-nucleotide ribosomal RNA is filed under the name Yarrowia lipolytica. RNAcentral describes it as "partial large subunit ribosomal RNA". It matches the Rfam family "Eukaryotic large subunit ribosomal RNA", at positions 86 to 526 of the family's 3401-position model. The record is from RNAcentral. Lineage: Eukaryota; Fungi; Ascomycota; Dipodascomycetes; Dipodascales.
ACGGCGAGUGAAGCGGCAAAAGCUCAAAUUUGAAACCCUCGGGAUUGUAAUUUGAAGAUUUGGCAUUGGAGAAAGCUAACCCAAGUUGCUUGGAAUAGUACGUCAUAGAGGGUGACAACCCCGUCUGGCUAACCGUUCUCCAUGUAUUGCCUUAUCAAAGAGUCGAGUUGUUUGGGAAUGCAGCUCAAAGUGGGUGGUAAACUCCAUCUAAAGCUAAAUACUGGUGAGAGACCGAUAGCGAACAAGUACUGUGAAGGAAAGGUGAAAAGAACUUUGAAAAGAGAGUGAAAUAGUAUGUGAAAUUGUUGAUAGGGAAGGAAAUGAGUGGAGAGUGGCCGAGGUUUCAGCCGCCCCUCGUGGGCGGUGUACUGCCGACGCCGAGUCAUCGAUAGCGAGACGAGGGUUACAAAUGGGAGCGCCUU